GACGAACGCUGGCGGCGUGCUUAACACAUGCAAGUCGAACGGAAAGGCCCUGCUUGCAGGGUCCUCGAGUGGCGAACGGGUGAGUAACACGUGGGUGAUCUGCCCUGCACUUCGGGAUAAGCCUGGGAAACUGGGUCUAUUACCGGAUAGUAGCCAUUUUUAGUGUGAUGGUUGGAAAGUUUUUUCGGUGUAGGAUGAGCUCGCGGCCUAUCAGCUUGUUGGUGGGGUAAUGGCCUACCAAGGCGGCGACGGGUAGCUGGCCUGAGAGGGUGGACGGCCACAUUGGGACUGAGGGGCGGCACAGGCUCCUACGGGAGGCAGCAGGGGGGAAUAUUGCACAAGGGGCGCAGGCCUGAUGCAGCAACGCCGCGGGGGGGAUAGCGGCCUUCGGGUUGAAGACUCGUUUCACUAGGGACGAAGCUUUUUGUGACGGUACCUAGAGAAGAAGCACCGGCUAACUACGUG
RNAcentral lists this ribosomal RNA (465 nucleotides) under uncultured bacterium. Its description in RNAcentral is "partial 16S ribosomal RNA". It matches the Rfam family "Bacterial small subunit ribosomal RNA", at positions 28 to 507 of the family's 1533-position model. The record is from RNAcentral.